UAGCCGUAAACGAUACUCGCUAGGUGUCGGCCACGGUGCGACCGUUGUCGGUGCCGUAGGGAAACCGUGAAACGUGCCGCCUGGGAAGUACGGUCGCAAGGCUGAAACUUAAAGGAAUUGGCGGGGGGAGCACCACAACGGGUGGAGCCUGCGGUUUAAUUGGACUCAACGCCGGGAAGCUUACCGGGACCGACAGCAACAUGAAGGCCAAGCUGAAGACUUUGCCGGAUUAGCUGAGAGGUGGUGCAUGGCGUAGUCGUGU
This 262-nucleotide ribosomal RNA is filed under the name uncultured archaeon. Its description in RNAcentral is "partial 16S ribosomal RNA". It matches the Rfam family "Archaeal small subunit ribosomal RNA", at positions 748 to 1009 of the family's 1478-position model. The record is from RNAcentral.